CCUUUAGCUGAAAGAGUUUAAAGCAGAAUAUUAUUAAAUAAACAAACAAUUCAGACAGAAAAAGGAGGAAGAAAAUUACCUUUAUCUUGUGGAUCAUCUUUAAUCUUGCAGCAGCAUCUAAACAAGAACCUUGCAGAUAAAAACAACCAACAUCAGAAGUUUUACACAACCUCAGGUUACUAAAAUAUUAACACCGUGUAUUUCAUGUUACCUGCGACUGAUCGAUCACCAGCCAGCGCUCGGUGCUCGUCUGCAUGUCCUGUCCGCUCAGAGGCUCCCGCAGUCGGAUCUUCACUUCAACACGACCUCCUGUGGCCUUACGCCCGUCCAUCACCUGUCAUGAGAGACACGAGGAUCUAAGUUACGGAUGUUUACAGGCACAUAAGUCAUCAGUGAGCAUCUUAGAGAACAAGACUUGUUUCUUUGGACGUUGUCAGGAUCAAACUCAGCAACAAACUUCCUUCCUGAUCUUUCCUCUCUCUCGAUCGGCUUAGUUUUCGAUGUAAAAGGCGACUCACCUCUACGAUCUCUCUGACUUCGCUCUGUGACUCCAGUUUGUCCAGCUUUACAAGGGCCGUCCCGAUUGGCUUGUCGCUCCGCAAGAAACCGCUGUGAGACGACACAUCGACAGCAUCACUGCCACAGUCUGAACACGACAACACUGAAGCUUACUUUCAUCUACUCUGACAUGAAUGCAGUUGUGAGAAGAGAAAGAGAGAGAGUGAGCGAGAGACAGAUGCAGUCCCCUCUUAAAGUAUUGUUACGGAGCUGGAAGAUUCAUCCCUUUGACAAUAGUAACAACCAUGUCAGUGCUGCUCAGCUCUGGAAAUAUCCUGAAAGUGAUGUUUAGGGGGAGGAAGACCUCUGGACUGAGCCAGCUUCAGGACCUCCAGACUUUUCUUACAACUCUCCGCCAUCUUCUCAAACCUGGAGCACACACAAAAAUCAGGAUUUGACUAAUCAGGUUUACAGUAUAAUGAAAUACACAAAUAGAAAGAAAAUACAUGAACUUGUUGUUUUCUGAUAACAACUCUUUGGGCUCUGGUAUCACAUUUCUGUCCCUUUAUGACAUUUUUUGAGUGUUUAGAGUUUGUACGUUACUGUUAACAAAAUAAAAAACUGUUUACUGCUUA
Micropterus dolomieu (smallmouth bass) is the source of this 1133-nucleotide long non-coding RNA. RefSeq lists it as uncharacterized. The record is from RefSeq and is a predicted model, not a curated record. The transcript has 3 exons. Lineage: Eukaryota; Metazoa; Chordata; Actinopteri; Centrarchiformes; Centrarchidae.